RNAcentral lists this ribosomal RNA (253 nucleotides) under uncultured bacterium. Its description in RNAcentral is "partial 16S ribosomal RNA". It matches the Rfam family "Bacterial small subunit ribosomal RNA", at positions 524 to 776 of the family's 1533-position model. The record is from RNAcentral.
UACAUGGGGUGCAAACGUUGCUCGGAAUUAUUGGGCGUAAAGCGCGCGUAGGCGGUUAUCUAAGUCGGAUGUGAAAGCCCUCGGCUUAACUGAGGAAGUGCACCCGAAACUGGAUAGCUAGAGUACGAAAGAGGGUCGCGGAAUUCCCGGUGUAGAGGUGAAAUUCGUAGAUAUUCGCAAGAACACCAGUGGCGAAGGCGGCUCACUGGCCCGGUACUGACGCUGAGGUGCGAAAGCGUGGGGAGCAAACAGG